RNAcentral lists this ribosomal RNA (468 nucleotides) under uncultured bacterium. RNAcentral's name for it is "partial 16S ribosomal RNA". It matches the Rfam family "Bacterial small subunit ribosomal RNA", at positions 28 to 507 of the family's 1533-position model. The record is from RNAcentral.
GACGAACGCUGGCGGCGUGCUUAACACAUGCAAGUCGAACGGUGAUGCUCCAGCUUGCUGGCGUGGAUCAGUGGCGAACGGGUGAGUAACACGUGAGCAACCUGCCCCAGACUCUGGAAUAAGCGCUGGAAACGGCGUCUAAUACUGGAUACGAAACUGGCCCGCAUGGGCAUGGUUUGGAAAGUUUUUCGGUUUGGGAUGGGCUCGCGGCCUAUCAGCUUGUUGGUGAGGUAAUGGCUCACCAAGGCGACGACGGGUAGCCGGUCUGAGAGGGCGACCGGCCACACUGGGACUGAGACACGGCCCAGACUCCUACGGGAGGCAGCAGUGGGGAAUAUUGCACAAUGGGCGAAAGCCUGAUGCAGCGACGCCGCGUGAGGGAUGACGGCCUUCGGGUUGUAAACCUCUUUCAGCAGGGAAGAAGCGAAAGUGACGGUACCUGCAGAAGAAGCACCGGCUAACUACGUG